Molecule: long non-coding RNA, 418 nt
Organism: Melanotaenia boesemani (Boeseman's rainbowfish)
Lineage: Eukaryota; Metazoa; Chordata; Actinopteri; Atheriniformes; Melanotaeniidae
Exons: 3
Source: RefSeq, a predicted model, not a curated record
AGAACUGGGACAAAUAGUUUAAGAUUCGGCCUAAAACAAUAUUGAGGUCUAAUCAGAAUGUCUUACUUUGUUUAGGGACAGACAAAAAUGAAAAGAAAGGGAGAUAUUGCAGAUUUUUUUAUAAAGAGGCACAAAUCAGGCCCAGACCAGCCCCAGGCAGACCCCAGCCCUGAAACCAGCAAACCUGGCAGCUCCCACCUGGGCGCUAGCCAGGCAAGUCAACCCAGUCUACCACCACCAGGUCAGAACAUACAGAGGAAGUAAAUUCUCCAGCUUAUUGAAAAGUGAAGCCUCAACAAAUGACAUAAAUAAUGACUGGCCAGACCUGUGGAGUGCUAAACAAACAGAAGACUUCAAAUCCAAGAACCCCUGGUUGGGAUCCAAAAACAAAAAAUUAGGAUGUCUGGUCUGUAGCAGU